ACACAAGCUUGUAUCUAUAGGU
Molecule: microRNA, 22 nt
Filed under: Ophiophagus hannah (king cobra)
Lineage: Eukaryota; Metazoa; Chordata; Lepidosauria; Squamata; Elapidae
Description: oha-miR-100-3p
Gene: oha-miR-100-3p
Source: miRBase by way of RNAcentral